GCCAGCAGCAUACCACCCUGCAUGCCACUGCUGGCUUGCUUCUGAAGCUAAGCAGGGUUGGUCCUGGAUGGGAGAGCAAAUGCUGCUGGAA
Ribosomal RNA from Hucho hucho (huchen), 91 nucleotides. The record is from Ensembl. NCBI's taxonomy places the organism in Eukaryota, Metazoa, Chordata, Actinopteri, Salmoniformes, Salmonidae.